GGAUGGAUGUCUGAGCGGUUGAAAGAGUCGGUCGUCGAAAACCGAAGUAUUUUUCGGAAU
RNAcentral lists this transfer RNA (60 nucleotides) under Dracaena cochinchinensis. RNAcentral's name for it is "tRNA-Ser". The record is from RNAcentral. Lineage: Eukaryota; Viridiplantae; Streptophyta; Magnoliopsida; Asparagales; Asparagaceae. RNAcentral also lists the same sequence under 2 other names.